Molecule: ribosomal RNA, 253 nt
Filed under: uncultured bacterium
Lineage: Bacteria
Description: partial 16S ribosomal RNA
Rfam family: Bacterial small subunit ribosomal RNA
Source: RNAcentral
UACGGAGGGGGCGAGCGUUGUUCGGAAUUAUUGGGCGUAAAGGGUGCGUAAGCGGUUCCGCAAGUCCUGUGUGAAAUCUUCGGGCUCAACUCGAAGUCUGCACGGGAAACUGCGGGGCUUGAGUGUGGGAGAGGUGAGUGGAAUUCCCGGUGUAGCGGUGAAAUGCGUAGAGAUCGGAAGGAACACCAGUGGCGAAGGCGGCUACCUGGACAAUUGCUGACGCUCAGGCACGAAAGCGUGGGGAGCAAAAGGG